This 323-nucleotide unclassified non-coding RNA is filed under the name soil metagenome. Its description in RNAcentral is "partial contains 5.8S ribosomal RNA, internal transcribed spacer 2, and large subunit ribosomal RNA". The stretch from base 1 to 120 matches the Rfam family "5.8S ribosomal RNA", at positions 35 to 154 of the family's 154-position model. The record is from RNAcentral.
GAUGAAGAACGUAGCGAAAUGCGAUAAGUAAUGCGAAUUGCAGAAUUCAGUGAGUCAUCGAAUCUUUGAACGCACAUUGCGCCCUGUGGUAUUCCGCAGGGCAUGCCUGUACGAGCGUCAUUUCAACCCUCAAGCUCUGCUUGGUGUUGGGCCCUGCCCGCUGCGGCCGGCCCUAAAGACAGUGGCGGUGCCGCCUGGCCCUGAGCGUAGUACAUCUCUCGCUCCAGUGCCCGGUGGUAGCCUGCCAGAACCCCAACUCUCGUGGUUGACCUCGGAUCAGGUAGGGAUACCCGCUGAACUUAAGCAUAUCAAUAAGCGGAGGA